RNAcentral lists this ribosomal RNA (123 nucleotides) under Prolemur simus (greater bamboo lemur). The record is from RNAcentral. Lineage: Eukaryota; Metazoa; Chordata; Mammalia; Primates; Lemuridae.
GUCUGUGGCCACACCACCUAGAACGUACCCGAUCUUGUCUAAUCUCAGAAGCUAAGCAGGGCUGGGCCCGGUCAGUACUUGGAUGGGAGAAAUGACAACUAAAUCAGCAUGUGAUCCUGGACU